GAUGAACGCUGGCGGCGUGCUUAACACAUGCAAGUCGAACGGAGUUUAGAUGAAAGCUUGCUUUUGACUAAACUUAGUGGCGGACGGGUGAGUAACGCGUGGGUAACCUGCCUUAUCCAGGGGGAUAACAGUGAGAAAUUACUGCUAAUACCGCAUAAGCGCACAGUAUCGCAUGAUACAGUGUGAAAAGAUUUAUCGGGAUAAGAUGGACCCGCGUCUGAUUAGCUGGUUGGUGAGGUAACGGCCCACCAAGGCGACGAUCAGUAGCCGGCCUGAGAGGGUGAACGGCCACAUUGGGACUGAGACACGGCCCAAACUCC
RNAcentral lists this ribosomal RNA (320 nucleotides) under uncultured Lachnospiraceae bacterium. RNAcentral describes it as "bacterial SSU rRNA". It matches the Rfam family "Bacterial small subunit ribosomal RNA", at positions 28 to 339 of the family's 1533-position model. The record is from RNAcentral. Lineage: Bacteria; Bacillati; Bacillota; Clostridia; Lachnospirales; Lachnospiraceae.